Molecule: ribosomal RNA, 460 nt
Filed under: uncultured bacterium
Lineage: Bacteria
Description: partial 16S ribosomal RNA
Rfam family: Bacterial small subunit ribosomal RNA
Source: RNAcentral
CCUACGGGAGGCAGCAGUGAGGAAUAUUGGUCAAUGGGCGGGAGCCUGAACCAGCCAAGUCGCGUGAGGGAAGACGGUCCUAUGGAUUGUAAACCUCUUUAGGCGGGGAGCAAUGCCGGGCACGCGUGCCCGGAGGGAGAGUACCCGCAGAAUAAGCAUCGGCUAACUCCGUGCCAGAACCCGCGGUAAUACGGAGGAUGCGACCGUUAUCCGGAUUGAUUGGGUUGAAAGGGUGCGUAGGCGGAGUUUUAAGUCAGCGGUAAAAUGUCCGGGCUAAACCCUGGCCGGCCGUUGAAACUGGGGAUCUUGAGUGGGCGAGAGGUAUGCGGAAUGCGUGGUGUAGCGGUGAAAUGCAUAGAUAUCACGCAGAACUCCGAUUGCGAAGGCAGCAUACCGGCGCCCGACUGACGCUGAGGCACGAAAGCGUGGGGAUCGAACAGGAUUAGAUACCCGUGUAGUC